Non-coding RNA from Oncorhynchus mykiss (rainbow trout), 1238 nucleotides. NCBI's taxonomy places the organism in Eukaryota, Metazoa, Chordata, Actinopteri, Salmoniformes, Salmonidae. The record is from RefSeq and is a predicted model, not a curated record.
GCGGGCGGGUGGGGGGGGGCGCCCCGCCUCACAGUUUGGGAACCGCUGGUAUAGACGACCACCUAUUGUUUCAAUCAAUCAGCUGUGUUUCAGUACAAUGUCUAUAUGGGGUACAUGUCAAUGAAGCCAAAUGGUACUUAUGUCAGUGUCCUAGUUUGCCCUACAUUGCAAUAACAACGAUAGAGACCUUUGAAAAUUGGACCAUCCAAACCUUUAUUCAAAGAAAGCACUGUUGUGAUAUUUAAAAAAGGCAAGAAACAAUGCUUAACCUACUGUACCAGUGAGUGGAUGAGUUGUUGUGCAGCACCAAUACCUACCAAUGAGUGGAUGAGUUGUUGUGCAGCACCAAUACCUACCAAUGAGUGGAUGAGGUGUUGUGCAGCACCAAUACCUACCAAUGAGUGGAUGAGGUGUUGUGCAGCACCAAUACCUACCACUGAGUGGAUGAGGUGAUGUGCAGCACCAAUACCUACCACUGAGUGGAUGAGGUGUCGUGCAGCACCAAUACCUACCACUGAGUGGAUGAGGUGUUGUGCAGCACCAAUACCUACCACUGAGUGGAUGAGGUGUUGUGCAGCACCAAUACCUACCAGUGAGUGGAUGAGGUGAUGUGCAGCACCAAUACCUACCACUGAGUGGAUGAGGUGUUGUGCAGCACCAAUACCUACCAGUGAGUGGAUGAGGUGUUGUGCAGCACCAAUACCUACCAGUGAGUGGAUGAGGUGUCGUGCAGCACCAAUACCUACCACUGAGUGGAUGAGGUGUCGUGCAGCACCAAUACCUACCACUGAGUGGAUGAGGUGAUGUGCAUCACCAAUACCUACCAGUGAGUGGAUGAGGUGAUGUGCAGCACCAAUACCUACCAGUGAGUGGAUGAGGUGUUGUGCAGCACCAAUACCUACCACUGAGUGGAUGAGGUGAUGUGCAGCACCAAUACCUACCACUGAGUGGAUGAGGUGUCGUGCAGCACCAAUACCUACCACUGAGUGGAUGAGGUUAUGUGCAGCACCAAUACCUACCACUGAGUGGAUGAGGUGUCGUGCAGCACCAAUACCUACCACUGAGUGGAUGAGGUGUCGUGCAGCACCAAUACCUACCACUGAGUGGAUGAGGUUAUGUGCAGAGUUAGUUUUUUUUGUCUUACCUUGUGAGAGGUAGUGUGUGGUUCAUAUAGCCCAUGCAGUGGGAUGUGUUCAUCAUAUCUUAAACAAUUAUAAUAACAAUCAUUUAUACCCGUC